Molecule: ribosomal RNA, 254 nt
Filed under: uncultured bacterium
Lineage: Bacteria
Description: partial 16S ribosomal RNA
Rfam family: Bacterial small subunit ribosomal RNA
Source: RNAcentral
UACGUAGGGGCCUAGCGUUGUCCGGAUUUAUUGGGCGUAAAGAGCUCGUAGGCGGUUCGGCAAGUCGGAUGUGAAAUCUCCACGCUCAACGUGGAGGGGCCAUUCGAAACUGCCGUGACUCGAGUCCGGUAGGGGAGUGUGGAAUUCCCGGUGUAGCGGUGAAAUGCGUAGAUAUCGCUUGGAACGCCGAAGGUGAAAACAGGUUGCUGGGGAUGUGCCGACGCUGAGACACGAAAGCCAGGGGAGCAAACGGG